Molecule: ribosomal RNA, 1605 nt
Filed under: Lenonchium zanjanense
Lineage: Eukaryota; Metazoa; Nematoda; Enoplea; Dorylaimida; Nordiidae
Description: SSU rRNA
Rfam family: Eukaryotic small subunit ribosomal RNA
Source: RNAcentral
AGCUAAUACAUGCAGUCAUGCUCUGACCGCAAGGGACGAGCGCAUUUAUUAGAAUAAAAACCAAUCGGGCUUCGCCCGUAAUUUGGUGAAUCUGAAUAACUUUGCCAAUCGCACAGUCCUAGUACUGGCGAUAUAUCUUUCAAGUGUCUGCCUUAUCAACUUUCGAUGGUAGGCUAUACGCCUACCAUGGUAUUAACGGGUAACGGAGAAUAAGGGUUCGACUCCGGAGAGGGAGCCUGAGAAACGGCUACCACAUCCAAGGAAGGCAGCAGGCGCGCAAAUUACCCACUUCCAGAACGGAGAGGUAGUGACGAAAAAUAACGAGACAGUCCUCUUCGAGGUCUGUCAUCGGAAUGGGUACAAUUUAAAUCCUUUAACGAGGAUCUAUUGGAGGGCAAGUCUGGUGCCAGCAGCCGCGGUAAUUCCAGCUCCAAUAGCGUAUAUUAAAGUUGUUGCGGUUAAAACGCUCGUAGUUGGAUUUGCGGCCUUGGAGAACGGUCCCCCGAAAGGGUGGUCACUGUCUCUCCUAGCCUAAAUUUGAGUCGUCUCUAGGUGCUCUUAAUUGAGUGCCUAGAGUGACAAGAACGUUUACUUUGAAAAAAUUAGAGUGCUCAAAGCAGGCGUGAUAGCCUGAAUAAAAUGCAUGGAAUAAUGGAAUAGGACCUCGGUUCUAUUUUGUUGGUUUUCGGAGCCUGAGGUAAUGAUUAAGAGGAACAGACGGGGGCAUUCGUAUUCCGGCGCUAGAGGUGAAAUUCUUGGACCGCCGGAAGACGGACGACUGCGAAAGCAUUUGCCAAGAAUGUUUUCAUUAAUCAAGAACGAAAGUUAGAGGUUCGAAGGCGAUCAGAUACCGCCCUAGUUCUAACCGUAAACGAUGACAACCAGCGAUUAAUCGGCGUUAAUAUAUGACCCGAUUAGCAGCUUCCGGGAAACCAAAGUUUUUCGUUUCCGGGGGAAGUAUGGUUGCAAAGCUGAAACUUAAAGGAAUUGACGGAAGGGCACCACCAGGAGUGGAGCCUGCGGCUUAAUUUGACUCAACACGGGAAAACUCACCCGGCCCGGACACUGUAAGGAUUGACAGACUGAGAGCUCUUUCUUAAUUCGGUGGGUGGUGGUGCAUGGCCGUUCUUAGUUGGUGGAGCGAUUUGUCUGGUUAAUUCCGAUAACGAACGAGACUCUGGCCUACUAAAUAGUCGGUAUAUCUGAAAGUAUGCCGUACUUCUUAGAGGGACAAGCGGCUUCUAGCCGCAUGAAAUAGAGCAAUAACAGGUCUGUGAUGCCCUUAGAUGUCCGGGGCUGCACGCGCGCUACACUGAAGGAAUCAGUGUGCGAUGUGCCUAGUUCGGAAGAACCGGGUAACCCAAGUAAAUUCUUUCGUGCUUGGGAUAGGGAAUUGCAAUUAUUUCCCUUAAACGAGGAAUUCCCAGUAAAUGCGGGUCAUAAGCUCGCGUUGAUUACGUCCCUGCCCUUUGUACACACCGCCCGUCGCUACUACCGAUUGGAUGACUUAGUGAGGUCUUAGGACCGAGGUAAAGGUGCUCUGACGAGUGCUUUUGCUUUGGAAAUUUGAUCGAACUACGUUAUCUAGAGGAAGUAAAAGUCGUA